Molecule: long non-coding RNA, 1012 nt
Filed under: Capsella rubella
Lineage: Eukaryota; Viridiplantae; Streptophyta; Magnoliopsida; Brassicales; Brassicaceae
Description: long non-coding RNA (CRUB_LNC004787)
Source: RNAcentral
AUAUAUAGAACAAUAUGGGACUCAGACCAAGUAUCAUGCACCACACAGGAACACACUGACCCCCAAUGAAAAGCUAAUUUGUAAUAACCUUACAAUGGGAGUAAUUAACCGAGGCAUCGGAAUAGAAGGGACCAAUUAUAACGCAACAAUGGGACAAGGAAGGAUUUUGUAUCAAACGAUUGUGGACCAAACCUUAUGCCCUCUUUUUUUUUCUUCCCGAGCCGAGGCAUUUGUACACCGAUUUGGGACUGAAUAUGAUCAAUCCUCAAUCGAAAACAAAAGAGAUGAAUCCUAUUACAAUUGGUAACUUAGAAUGGGUUUUUUUAGGGACCAAUUAUAAUGGAAAACUAGGACAAGUUAUUUAUAUAAUCGAUCCCAGACCAUAUUGCAUAACCGAGCCAAGGCUUUAUUUCUCAACCGAUCUGGUUUGAACCAAGGCAAUAUGUACUUUGAACAAUAUGGGACUCGGAUCAAGUAUCAUGCACCACACUCUAACUUACAAUCAUAAGCGUAUGAUGGUUUAUGCAUCAGAUUAUAAUAUUACCGAACAUAGGCAUUUUUUAUAGACAGUUGGAACAGAGUAUCAUGCAUCUUUUUCCCAUUCAUUAGAUCUUUGUCUUCUUGAUGAGCAGAGGCAAUUGUUUAAAUUCUUUUGGGCCAAAUACAUCAUGCAUCACCAUCUACACUAUCCCAUUCAUAACUCUUAACGAACUUAUAUUCUGUGUUUUGAAACUGAGUCGCCACUUUUGUAUAAACAAAGCGUUAUGCAACAGUAUCAACUGAGGCUUUAAGAAGCAUUUGUAUUGACAGGGAUAUCAUGCACCACACUCUUUCACAUUCCCAAGCUUAUAAAGUUGGCUUUUCAAUGGUCGUUGACCUUUUUAACCGAGGCAUUUGACUAUAGAAUCUGGGACAUAGACUAUCAUGCACCAUACUUUUUCCAAUUAUGAACUUAUUGACUAUUGAAAUUAGCCUGCAGUGUGGGUUUUAAGCAAGCAAAAUUUUGAACAGU